Molecule: ribosomal RNA, 1201 nt
Filed under: Canna paniculata
Lineage: Eukaryota; Viridiplantae; Streptophyta; Magnoliopsida; Zingiberales; Cannaceae
Description: eukaryotic LSU rRNA
Rfam family: Eukaryotic large subunit ribosomal RNA
Source: RNAcentral
UUUAAGCAUAUAAAUAAGCGGAGGAGAAGAAACUUACAAGGAUUCCCCUAGUAACGGCGAGCGAACCGGGAUCAGCCCAGCUUGAGAAUCGGGCGGCGGUGCCGUUCGAAUUGUAGUCUGGAGAAGCGUCCUCAGCGACGGACCGGGCCCAAGUCCCCUGGAAAGGGGCGCCGGGGAGGGUGAGAGCCCCGUCCGGCCCGGACCCUGCCGCACCACGAGGCGCUGUCGGCGAGUCGGGUUGUUUGGGAAUGCAGCCCCAAUCGGGCGGUAAAUUCCGUCCAAGGCUAAAUACGGGCGAGAGACCGAUAGCGAACAAGUACCGCGAGGGAAAGAUGAAAAGGACUUUGAAAAGAGAGUCAAAGAGUGCUUGAAAUUGCCGGGAGGGAAGCGGAUGGGGGCCGGCGAUGCGCCCCGGUCGGAUGCGGAACGGCGAGAGCCGGUCCGCCGCUCGGCUCGGGGCGCGGACCGCUGCGGGCCGCUCGGGCAGCCCAAUCUCGGACGCAGCGUGCGUUGGAAGGGAUACUGUCGGAGCGGCCGAGGACGCGGCGCGCGCCCACGGCGUGCCCCUCGGGGCACCCGCGCGCCGGAGGCAUCGGCCAGCGGGCUCCCCAUCCGACCCGUCUUGAAACACGGACCAAGGAGUCUGACAUGCGCGCGAGUCGACGGGUGCGGAAACCCGGAAGGCGCAAGGAAGCUGACGGGCGGGAACCCCCUCGAGGGGUUGCACCGCCGGCCGACCCCGAUCUUAUGUGAAGGGUUCGAGUUGGAGCGUGCCUGUCGGGACCCGAAAGAUGGUGAACUAUGCCUGAGCGAGGCGAAGCCAGAGGAAACUCUGGUGGAGGCCCGAAGCGAUACUGACGUGCAAAUCGUUCGUCUGACUUGGGUAUAGGGGCGAAAGACUAAUCGAACCAUCUAGUAGCUGGUUCCCUCCGAAGUUUCCCUCAGGAUAGCUGGAGCUCGAGCGCGAGUUCUAUCGGGUAAAGCCAAUGAUUAGAGGCAUCGGGGGCGCAACGCCCUCGACCUAUUCUCAAACUUUAAAUAGGUAGGACGGCGCGGCUGCUUGGUUGAGCCGCGCCACGGAAUCGAGAGCUCCAAGUGGGCCAUUUUUGGUAAGCAGAACUGGCGAUGCGGGAUGAACCGGAAGCCGGGUUACGGUGCCGAACUGCGCGCUAACCUAGACCCCACAAAGGGUGUUGGUCGA